GACGAACGCUGGCGGCGUGCUUAACACAUGCAAGUCGAACGGAAAGGCCCUGCUUUUGUUGGGUGCUCGAGUGGCGAACGGGUGAGUAACACGUGAGUAACCUGCCCUUUACUUUGGGAUAACUUCAGGAAACUGUGGCUAAUACCGGAUAGGAGCUCCUGCUGCAUGGUGUGUGUUUGAAAGUUUCGGCGGUUGGGGUUGGACUCGCGGCUUAUCUGCUUUUUGGUGAGGUAGUGGCUUACCAAGGCUUUGACGGGUAGCCGGACUGAGAGGGUGACCGGCCACAUUGGGACUGAGAAACGGCCCAGAGGCAUACGGGAGGCAGCAGUGGGGAAUAUUGCACGAUGGGCGGAAGCCUGAUGCAGCAACGCCGCGUGCGGGAUGACGGCCUUAGGGUUGUAAACCGCUUUCGCCUGUGAAGAAGAGUGAGUGACGGUAAUGGGUAAAGAAGCACCGGCUAACUACGUG
RNAcentral lists this ribosomal RNA (468 nucleotides) under uncultured bacterium. RNAcentral's name for it is "partial 16S ribosomal RNA". It matches the Rfam family "Bacterial small subunit ribosomal RNA", at positions 28 to 507 of the family's 1533-position model. The record is from RNAcentral.